Molecule: RNA transcript, 742 nt
Organism: Piliocolobus tephrosceles (Ugandan red Colobus)
Lineage: Eukaryota; Metazoa; Chordata; Mammalia; Primates; Cercopithecidae
Gene name: U1 small nuclear ribonucleoprotein C pseudogene
Exons: 1
Source: RefSeq, a predicted model, not a curated record
UUCCGGGCGUCACGUAACAGAGUGGCCAACGGCCUGCAGAGCAACAUGCCCAAGUUUUAUUGUCACUACUGCGAUACAUACCUCACCCAUGACUCUCCAUCUGUGAGAAAGACACACUGCAGUGGAAGGAAACACAAAGAGAAUGUGAAAGACUAUUAUCAGAAAUGGAUGGAAGAGCAGGCUCAGAGCCUGAUUGACAAAACAACGGCUGCAUUUCAACAAGGAAAGAUACCUCCUACUCCAUUCUCUGCUCCUCCUCCCGCGGGGGCGAUGAUACCACCUCCCCCCAGCCUUCCGGGUCCUCCUCGCCCUGGUAUGAUGCCAGCACCCCAUAUGGGGGGCCCUCCCAUGAUGCCAAUGAUGGGCCCUCCUCCUCUUGGGAUGAUGCCAGUGGGACCUGCUCCUGGAAUGAGGCCGCCCAUGGGAGGCCACAUGCCAAUGAUGCCUGGGCCCCCAAUGAUGAGACCUCCUGCCCGUCCCAUGAUGGUGCCCACUCGGCCCGGAAUGACUCGACCAGACAGAUAAGGAUAGAGGGGAGGCCUCAUUGUAUCAGUUUUAUAUUACCUGUUCUGCUUCACCAGGAGAUCAUGCUGCUGUAAUACUGAGUUUUCUAAACAGCAUAGGGAAGACUUGCUCCCCUGUCCUAUCAAAGAGAAUAGUUUUGGAGAGGAGAAGUAGGACAAAAAAGAUGCAGUUUUCAUUUAUAUUGGGAAAUGUGAAAAUAAAAUUGUCAACUCUAAAA